This 440-nucleotide ribosomal RNA is filed under the name uncultured bacterium. RNAcentral's name for it is "partial 16S ribosomal RNA". It matches the Rfam family "Bacterial small subunit ribosomal RNA", at positions 338 to 795 of the family's 1533-position model. The record is from RNAcentral.
ACUACGGGUGGCAGCAGUGGGGAAUAUUGCACAAUGGGGGAAACCCUGAUGCAGCGACGCCGCGUGAAGGAAGAAGUAUUUCGGUAUGUAAACUUCUAUCAGCAGGGACGAAAAUGACGGUACCUGUCUAAGAAGCCCCGGCUAACUACGUGCCAGCAGCCGCGGUAUUACGUAGGGGGCAAGCGUUAUCCGGAUUUACUGGGUGUAAAGGGAGAGUAGGCGGUGGUGCAAGUCAGAAGUGAAAGCCCGGGGCUCAACUGCGGGACUGCUUUUGAAACUGUAAGACUAGAGUGCAGGAGAGGUAAGUGGAAUUCCUAGUGUAGCAGUGAAAUGCGUAGAUAUUAGGAGGAACACCAGUGGCGAAGGCGGCUUACUGGACUGUAAAUGACGCUGAGGCUCGAAAGCGUGGGGAGCAAACAGGAUUAGAUACCCCUGUAGUC